CCAUCCCGCGUGCAGGAUGACGGCCCUAUGGGUUGUAAACUGCUUUUAUACAGGAAGAAAAAUCUCUACGUGUAGGGACUUGCCGGUACUGUAUGAAUAAGCAUCGGCUAACUCCGUGCCAGCAGCCGCGGUAAUA
RNAcentral lists this ribosomal RNA (136 nucleotides) under uncultured bacterium. RNAcentral describes it as "partial 16S ribosomal RNA". It matches the Rfam family "Bacterial small subunit ribosomal RNA", at positions 392 to 525 of the family's 1533-position model. The record is from RNAcentral.